AAAAUGGAGAGUUGCGUGAGAUUCUUCAGAUUUGUGUUGUGCUUUCUUCUCACACCUACUCUCAUGGCGUGCAUGUCAAUUCCAUCGACAAAUGCUGUCAAUUUUUAUGAGCGGAGGCAACCGGGUGAGAGUAUUUUU
Caenorhabditis elegans is the source of this 138-nucleotide non-coding RNA. NCBI's taxonomy places the organism in Eukaryota, Metazoa, Nematoda, Chromadorea, Rhabditida, Rhabditidae. The record is from Ensembl.